This 52-nucleotide transfer RNA is filed under the name Sacculina confragosa. RNAcentral's name for it is "tRNA-Ser". The record is from RNAcentral. Lineage: Eukaryota; Metazoa; Arthropoda; Thecostraca; Sacculinidae.
AAGUUAUUAAAAAAUAUUUUGAAAAUAUUAUAGGCUGUCUUAGCGUGACUUU